This 306-nucleotide ribosomal RNA is filed under the name uncultured bacterium. RNAcentral describes it as "partial 16S ribosomal RNA". It matches the Rfam family "Bacterial small subunit ribosomal RNA", at positions 507 to 807 of the family's 1533-position model. The record is from RNAcentral.
GACAGCAGCAGCCGCGGUAAUACGAAGGGGGCUAGCGUUGCUCGGAAUUACUGGGCGUAAAGGGCGCGUAGGCGGACAGUUUAGUCGGGGGUGAAAGCCCGGGGCUCAACCUCGGAAUUGCCUUCGAUACUGGCUGUCUUGAGUGUGAGAGAGGUGUGUGGAACUCCGAGUGUAGAGGUGAAAUUCGUAGAUAUUCGGAAGAACACCAGUGGCGAAGGCGACACACUGGCUCACUACUGACGCUGAGGCGCGAAAGCGUGGGGAGCAAACAGGAUUAGAUACCCGCGUAGUCCCUGUCUCUUAUAC